UUUGAGUUGGGCUUAAUGAAGAAAUAAAAACAUCAAGACAAUUUCUUGAAAGGGCUCAUGACUGUAUGUCUGAAGAAAAGCUGAAUAAUUAAGUCAGUGAUAUGGAGAUGAAACAUUAGCAUAUUAUUUCCCUUUUUUUCCUGCUAGGCCCGUUCAAAUUUAGAGUUUUUUUUAAGGAGAAUAAAGUCAAUGUUUACUUUGUCAUCAGCUUACACGUGUGUUUUUUAAAUCAGUGAAGCAGCAUUGAUAUGGAGGCAACCCCUGCAGUAUUGCCAGUGUUAUUGUUUGAGAGCCCGACACAUAAAUAAAUCAUAGGAUGAUUUUUUUUCAAUUAAAGUUGCUUCUGCUGUGAUGAAGUAAAAGUGAGUACAGUCCACAACAACCAAUUGAAUCCAUAGCCUGGGUAUGGAAACACCAGCGAACCAGUUGGAGAUCCAAAUUAACAUUAAAGAAAAACAAACCAUAAUUUUUUUUAGCCUCCUUUACCAUGUAAUGCAAACAUGACACAUUUCUAACUCACUCUGAAACCUUGUUGCUUGUUGCUGAAGAAGGAUCAGAUGAGUUAUUUACUUUGAAAAUUUGAACAAAAAAUGAAAGAAACUUUCAGUCAAAAUGAUCUGUUUACCUAAUGCUCUAACAGCCUUAAAAUUCUGUGAAUAAUCAAUCUGGAGUUAAACCCACAUAUGAAUAUUAUAAUAUUUAGUUGGAUUAGUUCAUUUUAUAUGCCAACAUCAAUGAAAGAAAGAGCCAGGCCACGGACCGCGUUGAGUCCUUGACGAAUAGGUAUUUCUGAUUUUAAUGCCAUUUUUGGAAUUUAUGUUGUGAUCUGUGCACACCACCAACCUUUGUCACAUGGGUUUUUAAAUAUAUGCAAAUUGAUGUGAGUGUCUUUAUUUGUGGAAAAGGGUGUUUGUCUUACCAGUGUCACACCAAAUCCCCUCUGUGCUUAGAGAGUGUGGAGGACGCCCUCCGCAAAGCUUACAGAGACACUUGUUGAGGGCUGCCUCCUCUCACCAUCAUGUGGCAUUGCUGUCUUCAGCCAUCUCUUUGACUGCUUCACAAAAUUUGCAAAUCGCCUCGCCAGCGGUGGAUUUAAAGGUGAGGAGAGGAGCCGAUGUCAUUGGUGAAAACAGCACUCAGCUGUGCUAAACCCACUCCAUGCCGUAUCCCCUCCCUCUUUGCUACUUACGCCGCUGGGAGGAGCUGUGUUAGGGAGGGGGGAUACUUAGGCCAGGCUGCGCUGCUCACCAAAAUACCAAAGUGUGCUUAGGCACGCCUCAUUGGCGCGGCAUACCCCAUGCUGCCAGUGUGAAAAUAGAGCCCAAUGUGUUAAUUUCUAUCAGCUUCUUUCCUGCCCCCUGCUGAACCACAGGAGGCUGAAAUUCACCUCACAAAUGCUCCCAGUAGGAAUUUGCAGACAGUGAAAAUUGCCACCAUUCCGCAGUGGUGCCAUUCCAUAUGCGAUGGAAAAUUGGGGUAAGUUCACAUGCAGGAUGAGGUUCUGGUCUUUAGAAACAGUUGAGAACAAAAUCCAGCUUGUGCUGGCCUUUGUUUCUAAAGAGCCAUCAGUGAAGUGGUGAACGCCAAUAGCUAGGUUGUCUUUGUGGUGCUGCCCUAAAUGGAAAUCACUGAAAUUGCUUUCUUUUGCAGCCAAGAGGACAACAAAGUGCAGAGAAGAGGAAAAAGCACGGUGGUGAAAUGGACUAUCCAGGCAUUUUCAUUUAUUUUAUUAUUAUUGUGUCAUGCACAGAAAGUGCCUAGCCCGAGUGGGCUUACAAGACACCAAAGAAAGGUAAUAUAAUAGAUGACGGACAGAUAACAGACAUAACAAAUUAAGCAUAUAAGCACUCCUGACAUUUUUUCCAGGUUUUAGAGACAAAAUAAGCUAAUUUAAAGACAUUAAAGUUGAACAACCAGUUCAUUCUAUCAUCGUCGGGUCACCAGAAAAUUUCUGGGUUUUUAACACACAUUUCCAUAAAUAAUGAAGCUCUCAGUUCAGCAUACAAAGGGCAAUAUAACAGAAAAUGUGAUUCACUUUCCACUUCACUGAGUUUGCAUAAUUCACACAGCCUAUCAUCUUCUGGAAUAUUUUUAAAUUUGCCAAUUUCAAGAUUCAAGGGGAGGCUUCCUGUUCUCAGUUUUGCCAACAAAGACCUUUGGUUUCUUGUAAGGUUUGCUCAAACAUGCGGUUCAGGUUCAGGGCCAUAACUGUGCUUUAAUUGGAUGUAAGUUCAUAAUUUAGAUUUCAAAAAAAUAUCAUUUAACCACUUAGUCUCAAACAAAACAAAUAACGUACCUCUAAAUGAAGUUAUUGAGCAGGUUAGGUUAUUACUGUAACUAUAUUGAAGUCUAACUCUGUCAAAUAAUACAAAUAUUUCAUUAGCCCAUGGUGAGCCAUUUAGCUUACUCCAAAUAAAAGCUCUUUUAUUGAUUCUGUCUUCUGGCAUAUUAACUAGACGAUUCCACAAUCUAAUCAUCUCACAUGUACGUCUUAUAGUACCAGGAAGCCAGUCCAUGUCACCCUGAACGGCUUGAUUUGAUGCAAAUUUAUGAACACCUAAAAAGCUGCGGGCGGCUCUAUUUUCUCUGGAGUCUGCUAUCUUGGAUUCCUUAUAUCCCCAAACCUCUGAGGCAUAAUUUAAAAUUGGGGAGACACAGGCAUCAUAUAGUUGUGAGUAGGUAGAGUAUCCAAGGGAUUUACAUAUCUUAAUUUUGCUGACCACACACUUGACCAGGCAAGUGGAAAGUCCUGUCCAAAAGUAGUGUGGACAUCCAACACUCAGAGCAUGUAUAUGCUGUUCAAGAAAACUGAUUAAUCGCCUUAAAAAGAAAAAUUAAUAAUUGAAAUGUAGGACCAGUGUCAUGGUCCGACUCAAAAACCUUCAGGUCUCUGUUCAAGUCUGUGUGCUGUUUGAAACUUAGCCUGACCAAAGCCACAAUUGUUUUCUAAACAUCACCAAGAAUUAAACACAUUUUAAAAAGCACUCGUCCCCAAGUCCUCAUAAUGAUCUUGUUUGAAAAAGCCUUUUUUCAAUGCCUUUGAUUUACUGACCUGAAACAAAAAACAAUUUCCCUCUAGAGGACAAUAAAAGAAUGAAGUGAUUAAUAAAAUACUCUUGAAAGGACAAGUGAAAAAAGAGAAACGGAGGUGCUUCUCUGUCUUUUAUUGUUAUUUUUCCAGUUAUGCUAACUCUACAAAUAAACACUCUUAAAAAUGCACAGACAGCCUGACUGGAAGAUUAAUUUCCCCCUUGACCUCCAGUUUUGCAAAUCUGUAUCCAUCCACCGCAGAGGUGCUUUGGAUAAAACAGCAGAAGUUCUGCAUGGAAGCUCUGAAAGGUUAAACACACUCUCACUUAUUCUGCGCUCAUUACAUCCUCCCUCACUCAUACUCACUGUUCUUAGCUGUUACUCAGCAGAUGUGUCACAAUAUCUUUUUCUCUUUUUACCCUUUUCUCCUUGAGUUUUUCCUCAAGCUUCCCUCUCUUUUGCAUAGUCCAGCACAUAUUGAUUUUAUUCCUCUCUUUGCACUUCCUCCUUUCUCCCUCCCGAUUUGAUUUUUCAACCCCCUCUCAUCUACACAAAUAACAUUUCCUCCUCUUCCCCCUCAUUUCUUAUGAUUUCCCAGAAUGCUCCACACUUUCCUCUCCAGUGUGUGUCCCUGUCUUAUCCCCUCAUUCCGUCUUCAUCAAACAAACAGCUACAUUAUUCAGCACAGGGAAGAGAGAGUCAGAGAGGCCCUGUGGGUUAAUCUAUCACCCUCAUCCACCAAUCAGAGCUCUGCCCUGUUCUUAUCUCUGUGUCCUGGUUGGAUGGUGAAGCUGCCCGUCAAACUACACUGGGGUCCAGAUGAUUGUGCAUGCAGACUAGCGAGCCUGCAAUACCCUCUCCAUCUCAAUCACACAGGCUUGGCAAGUGAACACACACACACACACACACACACACACACACACACACACACACACACACACACACACACACACACACACACACACACACAAACAAGCGGCAUGCACAUAACACUCACUCUUGAUUUUCUGACUAAUACACACACUCACUCACACACUCUCUGGAAGAGACUGGAGAAGCUAACGAGCAUGUGACAUUGGGAAGGGUGAAUAAGGAAACACACAUAUCCUCACACACACUUUCUCACACACACCCUCACACACGCUACAUCCGUAUGCAUAAAUCAAUAGCCGUGCUAUGGCUGCAUUUACUAAGGUCAACUAGGGCUCAGGCUGACGGGAAAUAAGAGGACAGUGUGUGUGUGUGGGUGUGUGUGGGGGGGAUGCGACAGUUAGACUGAGGGACUAAUGAAAGCAUCUCUAAAAGGAAAGGUUGUGGGGUGAGGUAGAGCAGGUGAGAAAUGCAUAAAAAGGGAGAUGAAAAAAGAGAAAAUGAGACAAAGGAAUGAAGAGGGCGGGUGGAGGAGAGGACAGGGCACACGUGCACGAGGAGGACAGUUAAAUGGAGGCUGGAGAUGGCUUGGGUCAAUAGGGGAGAUGAUAGAGAGAUGAGCAGAAGGAAGAAAGGAAGGACGAGAGAGGGCGAGGAAAGGGCUGUGAACCCAUUUGCUGAGCUCAGGUGUUUUGGUGGCUCUGUCAUGUCUCUAAAAACAACAGACUAUUUGAUUCCUCAACUGCUUUGAGAGGCCAGUCUGGGUCAGAGCCUAUGACUGGCAUUUAUUUAUCCACUCCUUCGCUGUUCUUUUCUCAGUCGGGGGAUGAACUGAGACCGAGGUGCCACUCACGACCACUUCAUGGGUCUCCCUGGAGGUAAAAUUUACAACCUGGGUUUACUAAUUUCAUAUUUGGCCAUCACUGUCAGGAAUAAGAAAUUGCUGACGUCAAUAACUGGAGCAGACGUGGUUAAAACGCUGAGUGAGUGGUCAGGCAGACAGAGGGGUUACUAUGAAGCAUGUUUGUCACUUGGGCUUUGUUGACAUGUAAAACAAUCACUUUGUUUGCAUGUUGUUCAAAAAUAGAUGUGUUGCAUUUCUCCAACUGAACCUGAACUUCAAAACUACAUGUAAACACAUUAGUCCGGCUAAAAUCCCAAGAGAUCAAACUUCUUAUCGUCGGACAAAACAUUCUCAAAAUUAAAAAGAAUUAGCUGAUAGCCAAUAUCAGACUCGUUCUGCCAAGCGGUGAUGAAGUGGAGCCUGUACAUUUAAAAGUAAAACUCUGUUUCACCCAUGCACAGUCUUUAUCCGUGACCCCAACAAGACACACCAAGAAUUGAUUUGUACUUGAACAACAUAUUUUGCAGUGUGACCUCUUGAUUAAGCUGCCACAUAAGGUUAGGGAUAGGUAGAGGACAUGAAUUUGUGUAUAAUAAGUUCAUAUAGUGGCAGAGCAGUCUGACUGAUAGCACUGAAGGACCAGUGAAAAGAAGAGCACAUAAAGAGUCAACAAAAAGCUUAACCACAAAACUGCCCCUGAGUUACUUUCUUUCCAGGAUCUCUAAGUAGCAUACUGUUUUAAAAAAAUGUGUCUAGCACCAACUCCAGGGAGGCUGUUUAUAGAUUUGUUGACUCUGCUUCUAUUUUUCACAGCACCAUCGUCAUUUUACAUUGUAACUCAGAGCUCCAGUGAAUUUUCUCUUUAUUUUGUAUUCCUUUCAUGUUUUAGAGCCACACUUCAAUUAUUAAUCCCUUUUACUUUCUAAACUUAUACGUGCUUAUUUCUGUCACCAUACUGCUGCAACAACCCAAUUCCCCGCUUGGGAUCAAUAAAAUUUUAUCUCAUCUUGUAUCUUAUCUUGAAUUAUUCAGACUGCUGGGGGAAAGAGAUACACACUUUUAUUUUAUUGUAAUUUAUUCCCCAGCAUGCCGCCCUGAGUCGUCUCAGGCAGUGGCCUCUCCCACUGCUGCACAACCUCUCUCCUUCUGCUAGAGCUCAGUGCAAGGGCAGGCUGGAGUGACACUACCAUGAUUUACCAUGGUGACACACAGAAAACACAAUGGGUUUGUGUUUGUAUAUGAUCUUUCUUGGUCAUAAAGCUAAUACACGAAUGUACUUCCACUACUUUUCUGCCUAUUCAGGCUCAUCAGAAAACACACAGAGACAUGUUUGUAUCAAAGAUACUCUGAUCUGCAGGCAUGACGUGUUUUUGAUUUCAUUUCUCUGUUAACACAAUAAUUAUGAAAGAAAUAACAAUCAUACACACAAGAGAGGCUUCAAUUUCUAACAAAAACGGUUAACACAAACUGCACUUUAAUCCUCAAUUUUAUAGAUAAAUGGAUAAAGGCUUUUAAACUAUCCUUUGUCAGGGUGUGUGGGGCUUAAGACAACCCUGAGGCUCCCCCUCUUUGCUGGUAUUACUUUAGCUUUAAGGGCACCUGGUUUUAUCUGGAGUUCAGCACCUAACCAAUGUAAGCACAGGGUAACAGCUGCCAAAUUUGACUUUUUCAGGACAUGUCACAAUACCCGGUCAGUUUCCCUGUUGGUUUUAGACUUAAAUCUAACAGUGAUGAGUAAAUGAAUACUGACAGCCCAACAAAAAAGGUAUUAUUAAUAUUGCUUAGACACUAUGCUGUUUUCUAUUACAGCAGAUCAAUUUCUUGGUUAAUUCUUGCUGGUUUAGGGUUUAAGAUUGUUUAUACUCAUGUCUGUGGUUAUUCCUUAGUCAUUUAUCCAGAACUGUCUGUUCAUAUAAAGUCAGUCUACUGAUAACUACAGUUCUAACAUUUCUAUGUCACUGUCUUAUAAUAGUACAUUAUCAGGACAUUAUGUUCACAAAGUAUAAUAAUAAUAAUGUUGGUCCAGAGCAGUUUUGUGUCGUCUAAUCUGCUUUAAGUAAGGAUUACAGCGUGUCUUCAGUCUUACAGACAGCGUGACUCAACAUCUGAAAAAGCCUGUCCUCCACAGUCUCCUGUGUUUACUAUGCAAAUAUGACACCACUAUGUCACUCAGCAGAUGACCUGUUUUCUGUUCAGGGGGGACAGACGUCAAACAGCGUCUUUGACUUUUGAAUCUUGUUAUUAUGAUCACGACAAAAACAACAUGUUUCGAGAACAGCAGGUGUGGAGCUCAAGAGAAAUGGAGUGUUGGGCGUCUGUAAUUGCUAAAAAGGCUCAGAAACUGUCAUCUGAAAAGACCAGAGGAGCACAAAAACCUCUUCUCUGUCUGUAAUCUCUUUUGGGACCUGAAAGACAGAAAAAAUAUUACAAGUUAGCACACUGAGGUCCAUUAUUCAGUGGGCUGUUCUGGGUUUGAGUGUUCUUUAGCAUGAAGUAUAACAAGACAAGCCAAAGCAUGCAUCAAAUUAUAAAAAACAGUACUGUAGAAAUAAAUACAAAAUAAAUUGUUGCAUUUUUAAUAUAAUUAAAAUAUAUUUGAAUCAAAAAAAGUAAAAGUCUUAUAGGAUGUGCCCAGAGCAAACGAGACAAACAACACUUUACAAAUCGAUUUAGGUAGUUUGACCUUUGGGUCCCCAAAUCUGAAGAUACCAUUGUUUUUAGGCCAUUAAUCUCUUUUGAUGGACCUGACUCCUCUUAGGUUAAGACAAGUGAUACUGGGUGAGAAUAUCAUUGACAGGACAUAAUAAGCAUAUUGUCAUGACAUUUAUCUGAUUGCCCUUUUCUGUUUGCUCUUUUGUUGUCUUUGUAGGAGUUGGAUGGUACAAACAUUUCUGUUUUUUUUUUUUUUUCUGCAGGCACAAAUACUUACAAAACAGGAUUUCUAAAAAGUGUUAGUGUUGAGUUUUGCUGGAAAUAAAGCCACAGUUAAAGGAUAACGCUGAGGGGGUCCAUACAAUAGUGAUACUGAUGUCCUGACAGUGACUGUGUGGAAGACAAUGUGUCACUCCCUAAGCUGUAAACCACAGACUCUAAAGACACGGGUAAUUUCUUCAACCCAAUUCCUGGGUUUUACAUGUUGAGUUAAAUUUCCAGGUUAUUUUUCAGAUCCAUACCCAUUUCUUGGGCCGUAUGAAUUCUAUUGUAACCCAAUUUGAAGGUUAUUUGAAUGGGUUAAUAAUUAUGGGUUAUUUUUUUGAGAGUAACCCAAAAAUUGGUGGGUCAGAAAGUUGGGUUGUUUUUAACCCAGGGGUUUUUAGAGUGUAAAAGUACAGUGAAACC
Molecule: long non-coding RNA, 8083 nt
Filed under: Xyrichtys novacula (pearly razorfish)
Lineage: Eukaryota; Metazoa; Chordata; Actinopteri; Labriformes; Labridae
Source: RNAcentral